Molecule: transfer RNA, 65 nt
Filed under: Cucujoidea sp. 14 KM-2017
Lineage: Eukaryota; Metazoa; Arthropoda; Insecta; Coleoptera
Description: tRNA-Glu
Source: RNAcentral
AUUUAUAUAGUUUAAUUAAAACAUUAUAUUUUCAUUAUAAAAUUAGAUUUCUUUUCUUAUAAAUA